CUCCAACAACCUUACCACCGCCCCUUCCAAACCCUAGAUCUGGGCAGUCCGUUCUUCCCCUUCCCCGUGCGCCGCCGCCCCUACAUCUCUUCCUCUCCCUCUCCGAUGCACACACUCCCUGCUACGGCCUCACAUCGCUGGCCUGCCUUUGGAUGGAACCGUCCUGGCCUAGUCCUUGCCAGAUCUGGCCGCACCGGUCGUCGGUGCUGCUGGAUAUGGCCGCUCCGGGCUUCAUCACCACCACCCCGAGUGUGCACUUCUCCACCGCCACUUUCCCGUCGUCUUCACAUCCGCCUCGCCCAGUUCCAGAGUAGUCGCGUGUCUCCUGAGGAGCCCGACCCCGGCGGCCUCUGUAUGGACUCACUCCACCAUAGCUAAGGCAGCGCCACUGCGUCCAGAACACGGUUCAACCUCCAGAACGCUUGUGGCAAGCACCAGAUCGUGAGUUCAAGCAGGUCAACCGCGAGUUGCAUCUACAUCGACAGGUUCUCUUCUUCUUUGUGGGCCUGCACCUUCCGCGUGGGCUGUGGAGGACAGAUGGCGCUGUGCUGUUCGGGCUGCAACAUGACGGGCAGCGGUUCUACUCAGAGCAGCUCUUUCAUGACAACAGGAAUCUUGCCAUCGAUACACACUGAAAAUCGAAAAUGAUGCUUGUAGAAAUAGUUGUUCUAUCAGCUAUUUAUCAAUUUUAAAUCAUGAUAUUCUUCUCAUGGAAGCCUCAAGCGUGGAAGCCAGCGCACAUGUACACACUCAUUCAGGCAUGAACCAAGGAAAAGUUCACAGCAGAAAACUGAAGCUCUAGCACGCGCGCCAGCCGAUGAAGCUCGCCUUAACUCCAUCGCGCAUCGCUAAGGAUGUUGGCAAGUUUGGUAUUUACUAUUUUGAAGACAUCGCAGGAAGUUAUUCAACAAACGGUUGCGACCAAGCAAUUUGUCUUCCUGGACAUGGCUCCUUCUGUGCAUCAAAGCUCAAACCAUUUGUCUAGCUUAGUUCGAAGAAAAAUAAAAUCUUAGUCUUAUGUAAAUUCUAUUUAUUGAUGUAGCUAGAUGCAACUCUACGCACAUAUGUGUUUUGUCAGUUCUGUUUAUUGAUGUAGCUGGAUGUUACUGAACGCAUGUAGGUCUUGUGUAAAUUCUGUUUAUUGAUGUAGCUGGA
Molecule: ribosomal RNA, 1155 nt
Filed under: Triticum aestivum (bread wheat)
Lineage: Eukaryota; Viridiplantae; Streptophyta; Magnoliopsida; Poales; Poaceae
Description: partial small subunit ribosomal RNA
Source: RNAcentral